UCUGAACGCUGGCGGCGUGGCUAAGACAUGCAAGUCGUACGGUGUAGCAAUACACAGUGGCGGACGGGUGAGUAAUGUAUCGCUAAUGUACCCCGAUGUCUGGGAUAGCUAGUCGAAAGAUUAGGUAAUACCAGAUGAGACCACAGAACCGCAUGGUUCGGUGCUCAAAGGGUCACCGCAUUGGGAGCAGGCGAUAUCGUAUCAGCUAGUUGGUGAGGUAACGGCUCACCAAGGCGACGACGCGUAUCCGGACUGAGAGGUCGGCCGGACACAUUGGGACUGAGACACUGCCCAGACUCCUACGGGGGGCUGCAGUAACGAAUCUUCCGCAAUGCACGAAAGUGUGACGGAGCGACGCCGCGUGUAGGAUGAAGUCCUUCGGGAUGUAAACUACUGUCAGGGGAAAGAAAGUUCUGAUCUACCCCAAAGGAAGAGGCGGCUAACUCUGUG
Molecule: ribosomal RNA, 450 nt
Filed under: uncultured organism
Description: bacterial SSU rRNA
Rfam family: Bacterial small subunit ribosomal RNA
Source: RNAcentral